Molecule: long non-coding RNA, 329 nt
Organism: Grammomys surdaster
Lineage: Eukaryota; Metazoa; Chordata; Mammalia; Rodentia; Muridae
Exons: 4
Source: RefSeq, a predicted model, not a curated record
CUCUGCAAGUCUCAGGCCAGUCUGGUCUACAGAACAAGCUCCAGGACAGCCAGAACUACAUAGAGAGAACAUGUCUCAUCCCCUGCCCUCCAAGGAUCUAGGGAAGGAAAAAUAAGUGACUGCAUCACUGUAAGAUAUUUAUUAAAGACACACGAAAGAAAUCAGUUCAGGAGAACACUCUGAACUGAUGGAAGAGUUUGGAUGACGACUGGACCAAUAAAGAGAAAAGUGAAUGAAGAAAGCAGUUCAAGGCCAAGGUGAAGAGAGGGAGGAUCUGAUGAAAUCUGCAUCAAGGUGUCAGCAUGAGAAAAGACUGAGUGACAAGGGAC